This 1310-nucleotide ribosomal RNA is filed under the name Escherichia coli. Its description in RNAcentral is "partial 23S ribosomal RNA". It matches the Rfam family "Bacterial large subunit ribosomal RNA", at positions 237 to 1591 of the family's 2925-position model. The record is from RNAcentral. Lineage: Bacteria; Pseudomonadati; Pseudomonadota; Gammaproteobacteria; Enterobacterales; Enterobacteriaceae.
CCCCCAGUAGCGGCGAGCGAACGGGGAGGAGCCCAGAGCCUGAAUCAGUGUGUGUGUUAGUGGAAGCGUCUGGAAAGGCGUGCGAUACAGGGUGACAGCCCCGUACACAAAAAUGCACAUAUUGUGAGCUCGAUGAGUAGGGCGGGACACGUGGUAUCCUGUCUGAAUAUGGGGGGACCAUCCUCCAAGGCUAAAUACUCCUGACUGACCGAUAGUGAACCAGUACCGUGAGGGAAAGGCGAAAAGAACCCCGGCGAGGGGAGUGAAAAAGAACCUGAAACCGUGUACGUACAAGCAGUGGGAGCCUCUUAAUGGGGUGACUGCGUACCUUUUGUAUAAUGGGUCAGCGACUUAUAUUCUGUAGCAAGGUUAACCGAAUAGGGGAGCCGAAGGGAAACCGAGUCUUAACUGGGCGUUAAGUUGCAGGGUAUAGACCCGAAACCCGGUGAUCUAGCCAUGGGCAGGUUGAAGGUUGGGUAACACUAACUGGAGGACCGAACCGACUAAUGUUGAAAAAUUAGCGGAUGACUUGUGGCUGGGGGUGAAAGGCCAAUCAAACCGGGAGAUAGCUGGUUCUCCCCGAAAGCUAUUUAGGUAGCGCCUCGUGAAUUCAUCUCCGGGGGUAGAGCACUGUUUCGGCAAGGGGGUCAUCCCGACUUACCAACCCGAUGCAAACUGCGAAUACCGGAGAAUGUUAUCACGGGAGACACACGGCGGGUGCUAACGUCCGUCGUGAAGAGGGAAACAACCCAGACCGCCAGCUAAGGUCCCAAAGUCAUGGUUAAGUGGGAAACGAUGUGGGAAGGCCCAGACAGCCAGGAUGUUGGCUUAGAAGCAGCCAUCAUUUAAAGAAAGCGUAAUAGCUCACUGGUCGAGUCGGCCUGCGCGGAAGAUGUAACGGGGCUAAACCAUGCACCGAAGCUGCGGCAGCGACACUAUGUGUUGUUGGGUAGGGGAGCGUUCUGUAAGCCUGUGAAGGUGGCCUGUGAGGGUUGCUGGAGGUAUCAGAAGUGCGAAUGCUGACAUAAGUAACGAUAAAGCGGGUGAAAAGCCCGCUCGCCGGAAGACCAAGGGUUCCUGUCCAACGUUAAUCGGGGCAGGGUGAGUCGACCCCUAAGGCGAGGCCGAAAGGCGUAGUCGAUGGGAAACAGGUUAAUAUUCCUGUACUUGGUGUUACUGCGAAGGGGGGACGGAGAAGGCUAUGUUGGCCGGGCGACGGUUGUCCCGGUUUAAGCGUGUAGGCUGGUUUUCCAGGCAAAUCCGGAAAACCAAGGCUGAGGCGUGAUGACGAGGCACUACGGUGCUGAAGC